GACUCAGCGUGCUACUGUUCUCUAAGGUCGUUGAGUGCUGAGAACAGGCUAUAUAAUUAGGCUUUGAACGAGAAGUUGGAGGAGAUAAAAACUUCCAGGAAGUGUUUAGGCGAGUUCCAUGCCGAAAAUAAUGUUAUGUGAGCAGAGAGUGCAGGCUUGUGCUCUUCUGUUGAAGAGCUUGAGCAUGAGAGAUUGAAUCAACACAUAAGUCAUGAGAGCAUAUCUUUAGACGAGGAGAGGCGACUGGUCAAAGAAAUUAAGACCCUUGAAAAAACCAGACCGAGGGUCAGUUCCAAUGCUGCUAAGCAAGCUAAAAUGCAAGAUAUAGUGGUUGAGAGAGAUGCCAUACAGAUCAGGUGAAAAUCAUCAUACAUGGAGUAAAGAAGGAGGGACAAGCAGCCAGGUCUAAGAUUAAGGUCAUGAACGAUGAGGCGAUGGGCGUGGAGAGCUGCUACAAGCUCGCGCAGGCGGCGUACGUCAACCUCGCGCUGCACACACUCAAGCACCUGGCGGCCGUCAUCAAUGGGCUCCUCGUCCAUGAUUAGCUGGACAACAUGAACCUCGGGGAGGUUGUGAAGGGGAACAUCUGUGACGCCGUUCUUUAGGUGCUCGCCCAUGUCUAUGUAAUUAUCUCUUUAUUGCUUCUAAAUUAAUGCCAACAGAUUAGCGUGCUUCUGAGAUAUCUUCCAAGUUACUGGUAACUACAAAAAUUAGACCA
Long non-coding RNA from Triticum aestivum (bread wheat), 718 nucleotides. RefSeq lists it as uncharacterized. NCBI's taxonomy places the organism in Eukaryota, Viridiplantae, Streptophyta, Magnoliopsida, Poales, Poaceae. The transcript has 3 exons. The record is from RefSeq and is a predicted model, not a curated record.